This 364-nucleotide ribosomal RNA is filed under the name uncultured bacterium. Its description in RNAcentral is "partial 16S ribosomal RNA". It matches the Rfam family "Bacterial small subunit ribosomal RNA", at positions 338 to 699 of the family's 1533-position model. The record is from RNAcentral.
CCUACGGGUGGCAGCAGUGAGGAAUAUUGGUCAAUGGACGCAAGUCUGAACCAGCCAUGCCGCGUGCAGGAAGACGGCUCUAUGAGUUGUAAACUGCUUUUGUACGAGGGUAAACGCAGAUACGCGUAUCUGUCUGAAAGUAUCGUACGAAUAAGGAUCGGCCAAAUCCGUGCCAGCAGCCGCGGUAAUACGGAGGAUUCAAGCGUUAUCCGGAUUUAAUGGGUUUAAAGGGUGCGUAGGGGGUCGGAUAAGUUAGAGGUGAAAUCCCGAGGCUCAACUUACGAAUUGCCUGUGAUAAUGUUCGGCUAGAGUGUAGUUGAGGUAGGGGGAAUGUAUGGUGGAGCGGUGAAAUGCUUAGAGAUCA